GCUACUGGAAACUCGGGCUAAUACCGCAUACGUUCUACGGACCAAAGAGGGGGAUCUUCGGACCUCUUGCUAUGAGAUGAGCCCACGUCCGAUUAGCUUGUUGGUGGGGUAAUGGCCUACCAAGGCGACGAUCGGUAGCUGGUCUGAGAGGACGAUCAGCCACACUGGAACUGAGACACGGUCCACACUCCUACGGGAGGCAGCAGUGGGGAAUAUUGGACAAUGGGCGCAAGCCUGAUCCAGCAAUGCCGCGUGUGUGAAAAGGCCUGCUGGUUGUAAAGCACUUUCGCGGGGAAGAAAGGUGUAAAGUUAAUACCAUCUCACAUUGACGUUACCUGCAGAAUAAGCACCGGCUAACUCCGUGCCAGCAGCCGCGGUAAUACGGAGGGUGCGAGCGUUAAUCGGAAUUACUGGGCGUAAAGCGCGCGUAGGCGGUUUGUUAAGUCAGCUGUGAAAGCCCCGGGCUUAACCUGGGAAUGGCAGUUGAUACUGGCAGGCUAGAGUGUGGUAGAGGGGUGUGGAAUUUCCGGUGUGCAGUGAAUGCGUAGAGAUCGGAAACCCCGGG
Molecule: ribosomal RNA, 565 nt
Filed under: Methylocaldum sp.
Lineage: Bacteria; Pseudomonadati; Pseudomonadota; Gammaproteobacteria; Methylococcales; Methylococcaceae
Description: bacterial SSU rRNA
Rfam family: Bacterial small subunit ribosomal RNA
Source: RNAcentral